UGAGUACUACCUCCGUCCUAAAAUUUCUUGUCUUAGAUUUGUCUAUUUAUGAAUGUAUCUAGUCAUAUUUUAGUAUUUAGAUACAUCCAUUUCUAGAUCAAUCUAAGACAUGAAUUUUAGGACGAAGGGAGUAUUUA
Molecule: non-coding RNA, 137 nt
Organism: Hordeum vulgare subsp. vulgare (domesticated barley)
Lineage: Eukaryota; Viridiplantae; Streptophyta; Magnoliopsida; Poales; Poaceae
Source: Rfam